GAUGAACGCUGACAGAAUGCUUAACACAUGCAAGUCGACCGGAAUUUUGGUGUUUAACUUAGGUUUGGGUGGCGGACGGGUGAGUAACGCGUAAAGAACUUGCCUCACAGCUAGGGACAGCAUCUGAAAACGAAUGCUAAUACCUAAUAUUAUGAUAAUAGCGCAUCCUAUAAUUAUGAAAGCUAUAAGCGCUGUGCGAGGGCUUUGCGUCCCAUUAGCUAGUUGGAGAGGUAGCGACUGACCAAGCAGAUGAUCGGUAGACGGCCUGUGAGGGUGAACGGCCAGCCAGAGUGUGAGACACAGCCGUCCCUGACUCGGGCGGGAGGAGGCGGUAAGGAAUAAUGGUGAACCGAGAGUAUGCUGAAGCAACUCUGUGUGGAGGAUGAAGAUGUUCGGAAUGUAAAGUAGUUUCAGUUCCGAAGAAGAAAAUGACGGUACCAAGAGAAGAAGCGACGGCUAACUACGUG
This 467-nucleotide ribosomal RNA is filed under the name uncultured bacterium. RNAcentral describes it as "partial 16S ribosomal RNA". It matches the Rfam family "Bacterial small subunit ribosomal RNA", at positions 28 to 507 of the family's 1533-position model. The record is from RNAcentral.